UAGGGAAAUACGCCAUUUGUACUAGAACAUUCAUAAUGUUGCAUUUCUCGAUCGAAGUCCAGGCACCCCAACUAUUCACAUAAUCAUAUGAGAAGCUGCAUUAACCAAGCGAAUAUGGAAUCGAACUCCAAACACGACGCGUCUUUGCAUUGAGUGUGGCCGACAGUUCCAGUCAAAGAGUGGCUUCAGACGUCACGUAAGACAACACAAAGGGCAAGCCCCUUACCGGUGUUGCGGGAAGAUGUUUUUUGACAAGGAAAAACUAAAAAUGCACGUGCAUUGCGAGCCAUCAUGUGAAAAAGGUCUCGAUGUGUUUGUUCCUUGUUAUACAUUAGACAAGUUGCUACCAACUCUAUUACUAUUAUUACUUGUACUUCUUGUGGCUGUGUUGUAUGAUGAAUAUCGAUGAUGUUUUUUUGGUUGUUAAAUGUCUAUAACCUUGUAAGCUUUACAUUCAUAUUUCAGAACAGUGAGUGGUUUCAAGGCAUAAGUUGUCACAAAUGUAUACAGCUAGCGCACAAGCUAAAUAAGCUCGAGUUGUUGAAAAUCUGACAACUGCUGUCACGUAACAUUUAACAUAUUUUUUUUAAGAAAUCAUAUGCACGGAGAGGCGGCCGGCUAGGCAUACUUCCAGUGUGGAAAACUGUUUGAGAAACGCCAACAGCUAUUUGGUAGACAAAAUGGUGUGCUGAGCCUUAUGCAGAGUUGUAUGUGAGAGCAAGGAACGACAACUCUGCGUGGAGAUUGGAUCAAACGGCUAGUCAGUUCGAGGGUCGUGCAGCGCAUGCAUGCAAAUCCGAUAAAGCAUACAGACACGCCACACAUCUAUAUAGGCACACAAAAAUCAACAAAGCACUAAACAUAUAUGCCGAAACUGUUAAAACUAUGUAUAAGCCUCUAUCUUAAUUUAUGUUAACUGCUUCUUAAUAAAUCGACCUCUUAUAUAUUAUUUAAUGCUAUUGAAAAUUGCGAUUUUUAUUGAUCUGUUAUACAUUGAUUUAUGUUAUUUAAACCUGGGAUUUAAAGUUAAUCUCAUUUACAUAUUGAUUUAUGUGAUAUGAAACUGUGAUUUAACUGUUAUACUAUGCAAUUUACAACCAAUAAUACUCAAAUAUUGUUUGGAAUCGUGUCGAAUGUUUUCAAAAUUUAUUGUCAGUAUUUAAUGGAGAUUUUUUCUGAUCAGUGUUAUGUGUAUCUGAAAUACUUCCCAUAAUAUAGAAUGUUGUCUUUGACGAUGCUGCUUCAGCAUCGUCUAAGUUAUUAUACCAUGAAAAAAUUCUUCACAAUAGACAAUCCCAGAAAUCGAUACCUCCCGGAUUACCCGCCCCUGAAUACUCUCGCGCGCCUCCAAAACGGUACUGAAGAAAUAAACAUGGACCUAUAUAAGUAUGUAUAGGUCCCUACGCAAAACAAGGAAGCGAAACGGGUUUAUCAAAUAUAUUUGAGGAUUUAAAGAGUUUCUGUUAUCGAUCUGACAACCACAUAAUAGUUCUUGUUUUUUUUAUUAAUAUAAAUUACGUAAUUAGCAGAAAUAAGGUUCAUCUGCAUUCGUUUAAAGGUAAUAACACACAGCAUGGACAUGGACCUAUUUGUGUAGGUCCCUGGCAUGAAUAAGGUCUUGAUUGUCAUUUAACAUGUUAUUUAAAGGUGACGCGUGAUAUCUUAUCUAAAUUUCGGUAUCAACACAUGUGCAGACAUGUGGUGUCACGGGCUAACCCAUAAACGCUUUUAAUCCACACUUGGAACAUCGCCUCCCAUUAAGCGAAUUCGUUCGCGCCUUUAUCGCUGAUGUUUUUUUCAAGAGAUGUAUG
This is a long non-coding RNA of Dreissena polymorpha, 1811 nucleotides long. RefSeq lists it as uncharacterized. The record is from RefSeq and is a predicted model, not a curated record. The transcript is spliced from 3 exons. Lineage: Eukaryota; Metazoa; Mollusca; Bivalvia; Myida; Dreissenidae.